GGGCGGCUAGCUCAGCUGGGAGAGCGCCGCGUUCGCAACGCGGAGGUCGAGGGUUCGAUCCCCUUGCCGUCCACCA
This 76-nucleotide transfer RNA is filed under the name Acidobacteria bacterium 13_1_20CM_2_68_14. RNAcentral describes it as "tRNA-Ala". It matches the Rfam family "tRNA". From Rfam's summary of the family: Transfer RNA (tRNA) molecules are approximately 80 nucleotides in length. RNAcentral also lists the same sequence under 13 other names. The record is from RNAcentral. Lineage: Bacteria; Pseudomonadati; Acidobacteriota.